RNAcentral lists this ribosomal RNA (253 nucleotides) under uncultured bacterium. RNAcentral's name for it is "partial 16S ribosomal RNA". It matches the Rfam family "Bacterial small subunit ribosomal RNA", at positions 524 to 776 of the family's 1533-position model. The record is from RNAcentral.
UACGUAGGCAGCGAGCGUUGUUCGGAGUUACUGGGCGUAAAGGGUGUGUAGGCGGUUGCUUAAGUUUGGUGUGAAAUCUCCCGGCUCAACUGGGAGGGUGCGCCGAAUACUGAGUGACUCGAGUGCGGGAGAGGAGAGUGGAAUUCCUGGUGUAGCGGUGAAAUGCGUAGAUAUCAGGAGGAACACCUGUGGUGUAGACAGCUUACUGGACCAUUUCUGACGCUGAGACACGAAAGCGUGGGUAGCAAACAGG